Molecule: long non-coding RNA, 243 nt
Organism: Mya arenaria
Lineage: Eukaryota; Metazoa; Mollusca; Bivalvia; Myida; Myidae
Exons: 3
Source: RefSeq, a predicted model, not a curated record
GGCCGGAGAUGUAUGUGAAACCGUGCGGUUGUGUUCCGUGACUGAGGCGUGCUUGAUUGAGGAGUAUAUGUGGGGUGAAAAUGACAGACACUUCAUUACGGGAUGCACUGACGCUCAGCUGUGCAGUAAUACAAGAAAACGAGCCGUGGCUGAGCUGGACAGGGAAGGGAGGAAUGUGCCAGUCUGUUCUCAUUGUUGUACAACAGAUUUCUGCAACUCAAACUGCACAGAUGCCAGCAUAAU